GGAAAAACAAGCACGAUGGGAACUGGAACUGAUAAAAUCACAAGGCUGUAAUGGCUGGUACUUAGGCAAUAUCUGAUUGGAUAAGUCUUUAUAAUUUGCAUUCUUCUUUACAACUGUCGUGCAUAGCUUGAUAUAAACAAUGUGUUGUGAUUUGUGAUAUCUUAAGUUGGUUUUAAUAACCCUAAUGGAUCUCAAAUUAUCAGAAAGUAAGAUAGUAGUGUUAAUAGUAGGACUCUUAGAAAACAAAGCAUAUCUUUUACCUCAUUAUUUACUAGAACUUUGAUAUUUGUGGUUUUCAUUUUCUAAUAUCAAUUAAUGAUGCUCUACAUAUACAAACCAGGAUUUAAUAUUGAAUUUUUUUGGAAUAACUUCUCAUUUUUCUUCAUUGAAUUUGAA
RNAcentral lists this unclassified non-coding RNA (396 nucleotides) under Hevea brasiliensis (rubber tree). The record is from RNAcentral. Lineage: Eukaryota; Viridiplantae; Streptophyta; Magnoliopsida; Malpighiales; Euphorbiaceae.